RNAcentral lists this long non-coding RNA (923 nucleotides) under Hordeum vulgare. RNAcentral's name for it is "long non-coding RNA (HVUL_LNC014455)". The record is from RNAcentral. Lineage: Eukaryota; Viridiplantae; Streptophyta; Magnoliopsida; Poales; Poaceae.
AGGGCUUAAGGGUUUGAGUGCUCUACUGGAGAUGCUCUAACAGGCGUACAGUCGCCACCGCCGGCAGUAAUCUGACGCGCGGACGGGCGCGCGGCGCGUUGGCGGGCGGACGGUCACGUGCAGCCUCGGCCCGGCGGCGUGGCGGGCUAGCGCAGCCGUGGACGGACAAAUGAGGGAUCAGAACGGACGUUUAAGGGUCGAAAUUACAAGUCCUGGUUGUAGAUGCUCUCAGAACGGACGUUUAAGGGUUGAAAUUACAAGUCCUGGUUGUAGAUGCUCUAACCUGUAUGGAAAUAUACGGACAAAUGAGGGAUCAGAACGGACGCGACUGGAAAUAUACACACUAGCGCCCAAAGAUAGGCUACCCACAGUACAACUAGACAAGUUCUAAAUCAGUGGAGCAAUCUGUCACGAGUCUCGGAAAACAGAAGGAAAGAGACCAGAGAUGAAGCAAGGGCAACGCCACAACAAAAGGAAGAAAGAGGAUGCAUGGCUCAGUAAUUAAGCACCUCCCAAAAUCAUCACGGUUCAUGCUUGUUAUCCUCGAAAUCAGUCUCUAGACUUCACCAUCAUCAGAUUCUCAGCAGCGUCUUUCCUUCUUCGUCAGUUCCUCGCUCCCGGCACACAUCUUUUUAUCUUCCAGGGCUCUCUUCUUGAUAUACUCAUGGUAAGUAACGUCGACCUCCUCCGUGUUGUCAAUGUCGUACUUGUCAUUCACAACAACAAUGACAUUUAUCCUGUCCAGGUCGACCCCAUUAGCUGCCCGGACAUUACCCAGCUUGUCCAUCCCUUCAUCCCCCUCCAAGGGGAGUGUAUCGUGAGCAAUGUUUUAAAUUUUGAUUUGAUUUCUUGUGACAACAUGCAAUGAUAUUGUGUACAUGUACUAUUUUUUUUGGAAUUUUUUCAAACAUCUUAAAUGUGUA